UAUGCGUGAUCAUCAGAAUAGUACUUUUGCAGGCGAAUUAGUGAGGUCGGGCAUACACGGAGUUGAGACAUAGUCAACAGCAUGGCUUCCGCGUUUGCCUUUGAGUUAGGUACUUGACGGUUUGAGUUGGCGAACGAUUUUGAAUCGUAUUUUGAGCUGUUAAGAAGACGCAGCAGGAUUUGAGGGUUUAUUGUGCAGGUUAGAAUAUCGAUUAAUCGUC
RNAcentral lists this long non-coding RNA (220 nucleotides) under Rosa chinensis. Its description in RNAcentral is "sRNA RchiOBHm_Chr6g0272911". The record is from RNAcentral. Lineage: Eukaryota; Viridiplantae; Streptophyta; Magnoliopsida; Rosales; Rosaceae.